AUGACCCGCUCGCCAUUGGCCUCGGCGAUUAAGACGAACGUACGUAGUUCUCCCAAAGAGAAUACGCAGGAUUAAUACUGGCAUCCUACCCGAGGAGGAUGGCCGUACAUACCCUACUUAUGUAAGAUAUGUAGAUUCCGUUUUAAUUCUUUAACCCAUUCCCAAACCACCGGGAAUCCCAUGCCUUAGAAAGUGUGUGAACUCACCUUGGUUUGCUCGGUUAGAUUCUCAAUAUAGCUAACAGUCAAGGUCGGUCAAUCACGUCCUAAUAUAAUUUACCAGUUAGUCAUUUAGUGGCUUUCAAAUAGAACACAAAGUUCCUACAUGUAUCUAUCACACAACAUGCAUCGUUUUAACGGUUUAUGCCCCUCUAAGUUUCCCAUCCAUUCCCCACUCAAAAUCAAACAUACGAUAAUGCACAUAACAUAUAUAACAUGUUAGAUCAUUCACGGAUAGCAUACUCGACAUUUAGACACGCAAGGUCACAAUUUAUAUCAAUUCAGCAUUAAUAUUCAAAACCGGCAGUUUUCGGUCGUUUUAAUAAAAUAGUUAAAUUAUUCCAAAAAUUCCCAAAUUUUUACAAGAUGUCUUAAACGU
This 597-nucleotide long non-coding RNA is filed under the name Helianthus annuus (common sunflower). RNAcentral describes it as "sRNA HanXRQr2_Chr16g0730951". Lineage: Eukaryota; Viridiplantae; Streptophyta; Magnoliopsida; Asterales; Asteraceae. The record is from RNAcentral.